UCGACCAUAACAAAAUAUAACAUUAAUAUCAAAUCAAGGUUGUCUUCAAAACAGAAACUAUCUGAACUGAGUUUAACAUAAAGUACAAACAAAACAGUAACCUCAUAUUCAUACUUGCAAAACAAAAGAGAUCCAAAAAAUAAGAUUUCAAAAUAACAGACAAGCCUAAGCCUCAUUACAGCUGGCAUUCAAAAAAGCUCUUCCAGGUUGACGGUUGGCCAAUGGUCCAUGGCAUCCAAGAAGCUGAAAAAUCACAAAAAGAACUUAUAAGUUGAAAGGUCAAUUACUUCAACAAAACUAACUGAAGAAAAGUAUCUAUGAGUGUUCAAACAGAUUAUAUUCACAAAUCAGACACAUGCCCUAAUAUAUUCCAAACUAACAUGAUUCAAGUUAGCAAAAAGUAUGUCCUUAGCAUGAUGAAGAAAAUAUGAAACAUGCAGUACAAUGAAUUCACACAUGCAGUACAAUGAAUUCACAUGCAGCUUCACAUUUACCUUGGCGUUAACUCCAUCAGGCAUAAUUCUGUUUUCAGAUUUCAACUUAAGAUACUCAGCUCGAUUGAUCUUUGUGAAUCCCCUGAAGAAGCAUUCCAAACAACAAUAAUUAGAAUUAAUGCAUGGAUUAAAGUAAAAGGUCAAAGUAAUCCCAGACUACAAAUCAACAAUAGAAGUAAAGUGAUAUUUCAUUUUUCAAAUACUUACCACUUUCUGCUAACGAUGAUCUUUUGACGGCCAGGGAACUUAAACUUAGCACGACGGAGGGCCUCCUGAGCAUGGUGGCUGUUGUUGUCUUUGCAACGGACAGAAAGAAGCACCUGCCCAAUAGCCACUCUAGCACAAACACCCUGGGGCUUUCCAAAAGCACCCCUCAUACCAGUUUGAAGUCUAUCAGCACCAGCACAUGAAAGCAUCUUGUUGAUCCUGAGUACAUGGAAUGGAUGAACCCUGACUCUCAAGUGGAAUGCAUCCUUUCCUGCAAACUUAGACAUGUACUUGUUGCAGGCAAUCCUAGCUGCUUCAAGUGCCUCACUUGAGACAUUUUCCUUCUCCCAACUGACCAGAUGAACACAGAAAGGAAACUCAUCAACACCCUUCUUCUUCAUGCCAACAUCAUAAAUCCUGAUCUUCGGAUCAGGAACUCCACGACAGAAUCGUGAUUUUGGAUAUGGCUUGUUCUUAAUUUGACGGUAACACCUAGCAGGUCCUAUAAAUAAAACAAACAUGAUUACAAUUACACAAAUAGUACAAUAGAUCAUAACAUCAAAUGGUAUAGAUAUAAAAAUGCACUAUGCAUCAGUUUCAUACAUUAAAAUAUCAUAACAUUAAGAGGUUUUUGUUACGCUUCAUGAUUAUAAAGAUAUACAUAUAAUUAAUAUUAAUAAGUAAAUAAAAAAAUAGAAAUGCAAUCUCAGCCGAAAGAUGGUGAUAUUUCUGAAUAAUCACGGAAAUCAGAAUAGUAAGGAUAUAAAAAUUGCAUCAUAGAUUGCAGAGCAAUAAACAAUAACAAAACAAAAUACAUAUAAUAAUUUGAAUAACUAUAAUUAAAAUUAGUACUUGGGUACAUUCAAAAUAUAAACAGGGAAUUAGUAACAGUAGGUUUAUAAUUAAGUAAACCCCUGUGUCGCAAGACCUGUAAAAGUUUGAUCUAUGCCAGUAAAAACGAAAUGUCAAGCUACUAGACAAAAGUCAGAAGUCUGGACAUCAGAUACCAUAGGCAAUAUACAUGACGCAUAAUCAAUGAAAACAAAUAAUAAGAGAAUUAACCAUAAAAUUAAAAUUCAGAAGAUAUUAUAGCUUGCGAGAGAUCAGAUGGUAGUGCAUGUUUGUUUCAUCAUGAAAAACAGAACCGUAUGGAUAAAUAUCAUCAUUUCUCUUGCAAUACGUAUACUAAUAGUACCAAAGACAACAAAGAAUGAUAGACUCCAUCAUAUCAUGUAUUACGUAUUAAUAAACUCCUCAAAUUCUCAAUUAAUUUAAAAUAUUCAGAUUCAACUUACAGCAACAUCAAAUCAACACAGAAAAUAAAAUUAAUACAAUAGAUUUCGUAUAUAUAAUUAAAUUUCAGCUCGUGAUUUAUAAACCCUAAAUCCUAAAUCACAAAUCAAAUAUAAACAUCAGGUCUCAUUAAAAAUUGAAAUAAAACGAAUUCAUGGAAAUGAAAUGAAGAAACGUAUGGAAUUAUCAGAAACGAAACAAACAGAGAGAAAUGAAUGAAAAUUGGAAGGUAAUUAGGUCUUACUUCUUCCCAUGGCUGCGCUGCGUUCCUCGCGUCCUGUGCUGUCUCC
This 2284-nucleotide long non-coding RNA is filed under the name Medicago truncatula (barrel medic). Its description in RNAcentral is "lncRNA gene12050". Lineage: Eukaryota; Viridiplantae; Streptophyta; Magnoliopsida; Fabales; Fabaceae. The record is from RNAcentral.